AAGACUUUAAGUUAAAAAAACUAUAUACCUUCAAAGUAUAAAAUAAUUAAAUUAAGUCUUA
This 61-nucleotide transfer RNA is filed under the name Alectorobius microlophi. RNAcentral describes it as "tRNA-Trp". The record is from RNAcentral. Lineage: Eukaryota; Metazoa; Arthropoda; Arachnida; Ixodida; Argasidae.